Potamilus streckersoni is the source of this 73-nucleotide non-coding RNA. The record is from the annotation of a GenBank genome assembly. Lineage: Eukaryota; Metazoa; Mollusca; Bivalvia; Unionida; Unionidae.
GCUCCGGUGGCUUAAUGGUUAGAGCAUCCACCUCGGAAACGGGAGGUCAUGGGUUCGAACCACGGCUGAGUCA